CUUUAGCUCACCAAGUAUUAAAGGUCUUGCCUGCCCAGUGAAACAUUUUAAACGGCCGCGGUAUCCUAACCGUGCAAAGGUAGCGUAAUCACUUGUCUUUUAAAUAAAGACUAGUAUGAACGGCUAAAUGAGGAUAAACCUGUCUCUUAUAAUUAACCAGUGAAACUGAUCUUCAAGUUCAAAAGCUUGAAUAAACACAUAAGACGAGAAGACCCUGUGGAGCUUUAAACCAACCCUAUAGCCUCUAAGCCCAUAUGGGGCCAGUUUUAAGUUGGGGCGACUUCGGAACAAAACAAAACUUCCGAGCACAGAGCCAACCACUCCCCCUCAGACUUACAAGUCAAAGGAAGACACCGACCCAGUACCACUGACCAACGAACCAAGUUACCCCAGGGAUAACAGCGCCAUCUUCUUCAAGAGUCCCUAUCGACAAGAAGGUUUACGACCUCGAUGUUGGAUCAGGACACCCAAAUGGUGCAGCAGCUAUUAAAGGUUCGUUUGUUCAACGAUUAACAGUCCUACGUGAUCUGAGUUCAGACCGGAGUAAUCCAGGUCGGUUUCU
Molecule: ribosomal RNA, 562 nt
Filed under: Leiolopisma telfairii
Lineage: Eukaryota; Metazoa; Chordata; Lepidosauria; Squamata; Scincidae
Description: partial 16S ribosomal RNA
Rfam family: Bacterial large subunit ribosomal RNA
Source: RNAcentral